This 253-nucleotide ribosomal RNA is filed under the name uncultured bacterium. RNAcentral's name for it is "partial 16S ribosomal RNA". It matches the Rfam family "Bacterial small subunit ribosomal RNA", at positions 524 to 776 of the family's 1533-position model. The record is from RNAcentral.
UACGUAGGUGGCAAGCGUUGUCCGGAUUUACUGGGCGUAAAGGGCGUGCAGGCGGUCUGUUAAGUCUAGGGUGAAAGCUCCUGGCUCAACUGGGAGAGGUCCUUGGAUACUGGCGGACUUGAGGGAGGCAGAGGAGAGUGGAAUUCCCGGUGUAGUGGUGAUAUGCGUAGAUAUCGGGAGGAACACCAGUGGCGAAGGCGGCUCUCUGGGCCUUACCUGACGCUGAGACGCGAAAGCGUGGGGAGCGAACCGG